Molecule: ribosomal RNA, 1514 nt
Filed under: uncultured Bacillus sp.
Lineage: Bacteria; Bacillati; Bacillota; Bacilli; Caryophanales; Bacillaceae
Description: bacterial SSU rRNA
Rfam family: Bacterial small subunit ribosomal RNA
Source: RNAcentral
AGAGUUUGAUCCUGGCUCAGGACGAACGCUGGCGGCGUGCCUAAUACAUGCAAGUCGAGCGGAUCUUCAAAAGCUUGCUUUUGAAGAUUAGCGGCGGACGGGUGAGUAACACGUGGGCAACCUGCCUGUAAGACUGGGAUAACUUCGGGAAACCGGAGCUAAUACCGGAUAAUCCACUCCCUCACAUGAGGGAGUGCUGAAAGACGGCGCAAGCUGUCACUUACAGAUGGGCCCGCGGCGCAUUAGCUAGUUGGUGAGGUAACGGCUCACCAAGGCGACGAUGCGUAGCCGACCUGAGAGGGUGAUCGGCCACACUGGGACUGAGACACGGCCCAGACUCCUACGGGAGGCAGCAGUAGGGAAUCUUCCGCAAUGGACGAAAGUCUGACGGAGCAACGCCGCGUGAGCGAAGAAGGCCUUCGGGUCGUAAAGCUCUGUUGUCAGUGAAGAACAAGUACCGGAGUAACUGCCGGUACCUUGACGGUACCUGACCAGAAAGCCACGGCUAACUACGUGCCAGCAGCCGCGGUAAUACGUAGGUGGCAAGCGUUGUCCGGAAUUAUUGGGCGUAAAGCGCGCGCAGGCGGUUCCUUAAGUCUGAUGUGAAAGCCCACGGCUCAACCGUGGAGGGUCAUUGGAAACUGGGGAACUUGAGUGCAGAAGAGAAGAGCGGAAUUCCACGUGUAGCGGUGAAAUGCGUAGAGAUGUGGAGGAACACCAGUGGCGAAAGGCGGCUCUUUGGUCUGUAACUGACGCUGAGGCGCGAAAGCGUGGGGAGCGAACAGGAUUAGAUACCCUGGUAGUCCACGCCGUAAACGAUGAGUGCUAAGUGUUAGAGGGUUUCCGCCCUUUAGUGCUGCAGCAAACGCAUUAAGCACUCCGCCUGGGGAGUACGGCCGCAAGGCUGAAACUCAAAGGAAUUGACGGGGGCCCGCACAAGCGGUGGAGCAUGUGGUUUAAUUCGAAGCAACGCGAAGAACCUUACCAGGUCUUGACAUCCUCUGACACUCCUAGAGAUAGGAAUUUCCCCUUCGGGGGACAGAGUGACAGGUGGUGCAUGGUUGUCGUCAGCUCGUGUCGUGAGAUGUUGGGUUAAGUCCCGCAACGAGCGCAACCCUUGAUCUUAGUUGCCAGCAUUCAGUUGGGCACUCUAAGGUGACUGCCGGUGACAAACCGGAGGAAGGUGGGGAUGACGUCAAAUCAUCAUGCCCCUUAUGACCUGGGCUACACACGUGCUACAAUGGAUGGUACAAAGGGUCGCAAAACCGCGAGGUUGAGCCAAUCCCAUAAAACCAUUCUCAGUUCGGAUUGCAGGCUGCAACUCGCCUGCAUGAAGCCGGAAUCGCUAGUAAUCGCGGAUCAGCAUGCCGCGGUGAAUACGUUCCCGGGCCUUGUACACACCGCCCGUCACACCACGAGAGUUUGUAACACCCGAAGUCGGUGGGGUAACCUUUUGGAGCCAGCCGCCUAAGGUGGGACAGAUGAUUGGGGUGAAGUCGUAACAAGGUAGCCGU